UACGAAGGGGGCUAGCGUUGCUCGGAUUGACUGGGCGUAAAGGGCGCGUAGGCGGUUCGUACAGUCAGACGUGAAAUUCCUGGGCUCAACCUGGGGGCUGCGUUUGAUACGUGCGGACUUGAGUGCGGAAGAGGGUCGUGGAAUUCCCAGUGUAGAGGUGAAAUUCGUAGAUAUUCGGAAGAACACCAGUGGCGAAGGCGACUUACUGGACGAUUGUUGACGCUGAGGUGCGAAAGCGUGGGGAGCAAACAGG
Molecule: ribosomal RNA, 253 nt
Filed under: uncultured bacterium
Lineage: Bacteria
Description: partial 16S ribosomal RNA
Rfam family: Bacterial small subunit ribosomal RNA
Source: RNAcentral